GACCAGGUCGGCCAAGAGAACUGGCAGCAGUUCUCUGAACAGUUCCCUCCUUUGUUGAAGGAGCGCUUGUCGGCAUGCUAUGGCGUUCAGCGCAAGUCCACAACAGACCUGUUCGGUAACCAUAGGGGAGGGUCACUGGGGAACUCUGCCCACUGUGGCAUCCUGGGUCAGCCUGAAAUAAUACCUGAGACAUGUUUUUAUAAGAUCCUGCAUGGCUUCAAGGACCAGGUCGGCCAAGAGAACUGGCAGCAAUUCUCUGAACAGUUCCCUCCUUUGUUGAAGGAGCGCUUGUCGGCAUGCUAUGUCGUUCAGCGCAAGUCCACAACAGACUUGUUCGGUUACCAUAGGGGAGGGUCACUGGGGAACUCUGCCCACUGUGGCAUCCUGGGUUAGCCCAAAAGAAUACCUGAGACAUGUUUUUAUAAGGUGGGUGGUACCUAAAAUCCUUAUUUCAUGUCAAUUCUAAAUCUGGCUCGCCGUACUAUGAUGAUCACUACUAAGACAUUCGAAACCUGACAUAACUGUGUAGAUGCUAUUUGGUUCUGAGACAAGUGGCCACAAAAAGUCUCAUUGGCAGAA
Entelurus aequoreus (snake pipefish) is the source of this 579-nucleotide long non-coding RNA. RefSeq lists it as uncharacterized. The transcript is spliced from 4 exons. The record is from RefSeq and is a predicted model, not a curated record. NCBI's taxonomy places the organism in Eukaryota, Metazoa, Chordata, Actinopteri, Syngnathiformes, Syngnathidae.